UAAGUAGGGGGCAAGCGAUGUCCGGAAUUACUGGGUGUAAAGGGCGUGUAGGCGGGAAAGCAAGUCAGAUGUGAAAUCCCAUGGCUUAACUGUGGAGCUGCAUCUGAAACUGUUUUUCUUGAGUAUCGGAGAGGAAAGUGGAAUUCCAAGUGUAGCGGUGAAAUGCGUAGAGAUUUGGAGGAACACCAGUGGCGAAGGCGGCUUUCUGGACGAUAACUGACGCUGAGGCGCGAAAGCGUGGGGAGCAAACAGG
RNAcentral lists this ribosomal RNA (253 nucleotides) under uncultured bacterium. RNAcentral's name for it is "partial 16S ribosomal RNA". It matches the Rfam family "Bacterial small subunit ribosomal RNA", at positions 524 to 776 of the family's 1533-position model. The record is from RNAcentral.